GAACGCUGGCGGCAGGCCUAACACAUGCAAGUCGAGCGGUAACAGGGGGUGCUUGCACCCCGCUGACGAGCGGCGGACGGGUGAGUAAUGCAUAGGAAUCUGCCCGAUAGUGGGGGAUAACCUGGGGAAACCCAGGCUAAUACCGCAUACGUCCUACGGGAGAAAGGGGGCUCCGGCUCCCGCUAUGGGAUGAGCCUAUGUCGGAUUAGCUAGUUGGUGAGGUAACGGCUCACCAAGGCCACGAUCCGUAGCUGGUCUGAGAGGAUGAUCAGCCACAUCGGGACUGAGACACGGCCCGAACUCCUACGGGAGGCAGCAGUGGGGAAUAUUGGACAAUGGGGGCAACCCUGAUCCAGCCAUGCCGCGUGUGUGAAGAAGGCCCUCGGGUUGUAAAGCACUUUCAGCGAGGAAGAACGCCUAGCGGUUAAUACCCGCUAGGAAAGACAUCACUCGCAGAAGAAGCACCGGCUAACUCCGUGCCAGCAGCCGCGGUAAUACGGAGGGUGCAAGCGUUAAUCGGAAUUACUGGGCGUAAAGCGCGCGUAGGUGGCUUGAUAAGCCGGUUGUGAAAGCCCCGGGCUCAACCUGGGAACGGCAUCCGGAACUGUCAAGCUAGAGUGCAGGAGAGGAAGGUAGAAUUCCCGGUGUAGCGGUGAAAUGCGUAGAGAUCGGGAGGAAUACCAGUGGCGAAGGCGGCCUUCUGGACUGACACUGACACUGAGGUGCGAAAGCGUGGGUAGCAAACAGGAUUAGAUACCCUGGUAGUCCACGCC
Molecule: ribosomal RNA, 773 nt
Filed under: uncultured bacterium
Lineage: Bacteria
Description: bacterial SSU rRNA
Rfam family: Bacterial small subunit ribosomal RNA
Source: RNAcentral